AAUAACUCAAUUCCUGAGUUUCCGUGUCCAACAUUUGACCAUUCGUCUUAUUUGAAAAAAUUAUGAAAAAAUUUAAAAAGAUAAAUCACGUAUAAAGUAUUAUUUAUGUUUUAUCAUUUAACAACAAUGAAAAUACUAAUCAUAAAAAAGUUUCAUAUAAGACGGAUAGUCAAACGUAGGACACGAAAACCCAGGAAUUGAGUCUUU
Molecule: microRNA precursor, 207 nt
Organism: Oryza sativa Japonica Group (Japanese rice)
Lineage: Eukaryota; Viridiplantae; Streptophyta; Magnoliopsida; Poales; Poaceae
Rfam family: MIR812 microRNA precursor family
Source: Rfam